GAGCGUUGUCCGGAAUCACUGGGCGUAAAGGGCGCGUAGGCGGUCUGCUAAGCGUGCGGUGAAAGCCUGGGGCUCAACCCCAGGUCUGCCGUGCGAACUGGUGGACUAGAGCACUGUAGAGGCAGGUGGAAUUCCGGGUGUAGCGGUGGAAUGCGUAGAGAUCCGGAAGAACACCGGUGGCGAAGGCGGCCUGCUGGGCAGUUGCUGACGCUGAGGCGCGACAGCGUGGGGAGCAAACAGG
RNAcentral lists this ribosomal RNA (241 nucleotides) under uncultured bacterium. RNAcentral describes it as "partial 16S ribosomal RNA". It matches the Rfam family "Bacterial small subunit ribosomal RNA", at positions 536 to 776 of the family's 1533-position model. The record is from RNAcentral.